RNAcentral lists this ribosomal RNA (465 nucleotides) under Vreelandella stevensii. RNAcentral's name for it is "partial 16S ribosomal RNA". It matches the Rfam family "Bacterial small subunit ribosomal RNA", at positions 338 to 795 of the family's 1533-position model. The record is from RNAcentral. Lineage: Bacteria; Pseudomonadati; Pseudomonadota; Gammaproteobacteria; Oceanospirillales; Halomonadaceae.
CCUACGGGGUGCAGCAGUGGGGAAUAUUGGACAAUGGGGGGAACCCUGAUCCAGCCAUGCCGCGUGUGUGAAGAAGGCCCUCGGGUUGUAAAGCACUUUCAGUGAGGAAGAACGCCUGGUGGUUAAUACCCAUCAGGAAAGACAUCACUCACAGAAGAAGCACCGGCUAACUCCGUGCCAGCAGCCGCGGUAAUACGGAGGGUGCGAGCGUUAAUCGGAAUUACUGGGCGUAAAGCGCGCGUAGGUGGCUUGAUAAGCCGGUUGUGAAAGCCCCGGGCUCAACCUGGGAACGGCAUCCGGAACUGUCAAGCUAGAGUGCAGGAGAGGAAGGUAGAAUUCCCGGUGUAGCGGUGAAAUGCGUAGAGAUCGGGAGGAAUACCAGUGGCGAAGGCGGCCUUCUGGACUGACACUGACACUGAGGUGCGAAAGCGUGGGUAGCAAACAGGAUUAGAUACCCGAGUAGGC